This 530-nucleotide ribosomal RNA is filed under the name Salmonella enterica. RNAcentral's name for it is "bacterial LSU rRNA". It matches the Rfam family "Bacterial large subunit ribosomal RNA", at positions 711 to 1238 of the family's 2925-position model. Lineage: Bacteria; Pseudomonadati; Pseudomonadota; Gammaproteobacteria; Enterobacterales; Enterobacteriaceae. The record is from RNAcentral. RNAcentral also lists the same sequence under 12 other names.
AGACCCGAAACCCGGUGAUCUAGCCAUGGGCAGGUUGAAGGUUGGGUAACACUAACUGGAGGACCGAACCGACUAAUGUUGAAAAAUUAGCGGAUGACCUGUGGCUGGGGGUGAAAGGCCAAUCAAACCGGGAGAUAGCUGGUUCUCCCCGAAAGCUAUUUAGGUAGCGCCUCGUGAAUUCAUCUCCGGGGGUAGAGCACUGUUUCGGCUAGGGGGCCAUCCCGGCUUACCAACCCGAUGCAAACUGCGAAUACCGGAGAAUGUUAUCACGGGAGACACACGGCGGGUGCUAACGUCCGUCGUGAAGAGGGAAACAACCCAGACCGCCAGCUAAGGUCCCAAAGUCAUGGUUAAGUGGGAAACGAUGUGGGAAGGCCCAGACAGCCAGGAUGUUGGCUUAGAAGCAGCCAUCAUUUAAAGAAAGCGUAAUAGCUCACUGGUCGAGUCGGCCUGCGCGGAAGAUGUAACGGGGCUAAACCAUGCACCGAAGCUGCGGCAGCGACGCUUAUGCGUUGUUGGGUAGGGGAGCG